Erigeron canadensis is the source of this 1026-nucleotide long non-coding RNA. RefSeq lists it as uncharacterized. The transcript is spliced from 2 exons. The record is from RefSeq and is a predicted model, not a curated record. NCBI's taxonomy places the organism in Eukaryota, Viridiplantae, Streptophyta, Magnoliopsida, Asterales, Asteraceae.
UCCAUCCCUGCCAAAGAAGUACAGACUUUCUUCGGUAAGCUGACCCUUAAAACUAGAACUUAAGUAGUUUUAGAUUUCGCUGUAAGCUAAACUUAACUAGUGGCAACACUGAUAAAUGGUGGUUUUGUUACUUGCAUUAAAAUGACGUACCAGAUAAAUCCGCAGAACAACUAAUGAUACAAGAAAAAGUGUCCCCGUUCCUGCAGCUAGUAAAAAUCGUAAAGGAUCCUGCAUAUGAAAGCCAGUGUUAUCUAGGAAUUUGGACAAGAUUAGAAAUACUUAUCAUCUAAAAUCUGUUUAUCAUUAUGAAUAUGAAAACAAUUGGGUUACAGACCAGUGGCCACGUGCCCCCCUAAAAAGCAGUUUGGUGCUGAAAUAGGCGGGGGUUCGAAUCUUCGUUCCCCAACUAAGGUUUCUGGGGUCUCACCGCUAGUCAGUGUUGCAGGAUCGCUAGACUGGAAGGAAAAAUUCCUUCCCGGGAUUAAGGGGUUCCCAGGCAUUUACCCUCCUAUGAAUAUGAACUUGAACAUGAACAUGAAGAUGAAGUAGGUAUUAUAUUAUUGACUAAUUAUCUUCCUUUGCAUUUUUUAUGUUUCAAGAUUCCCAAUAUAUGUGUGGACACUACAUCUAGGUUCUGGAAUAUGGUAAGAACUGUUCGAGAUACUUCGUUUAGUAGACGGACUCUUCUAAGUAAUAUAUGCCGGAUGAGUAAAAUGGUAUACAUUAAUUGAAGCGCUGUCACACUGCUACUCGGAUAAUAUUUCUAUAUAUCAAGAAAUGGCAUGAAUCUUACACUUGAAGGAUUGAAGCUGGCAGCUGAUAUUGGCACUCCAAGAACAGUAAAUGUCACCAACCAAAGCCCUCCAAGCCGCAGGAAAAAGGAUGGCGGUUUCAGUUCGCCCCAUGAGUAUAAUGGUCCUUCCUUUAAAGAUGAGUACUCAUUUACCUAGUUCAUAUUCAUAAACAUCAUCUACAUGCAGGCAUAAUACUCCAUCAAUAUAUCACUUACAAUAGUUUCUUAUCAUG